AUUUGCUCAGUGUGUCACUCAUUUUCCAACAUCAUUUUGGCUGGCUGAAUUCCAUCGCUUUCACGGGCAGUCUGCAUGUGUCUCCCCGCUCAUUUCUUUGUGACAAGCUCUCCAGCUCUGCUUCGGUCCUUCCACCCCCAGGAUAAAAAUGACUGAGACACCCCGUCACCAGAUUGCCGGCACUUUCCGCCUCCCCCCCCCCCCCCAGCUUUAUCGGGAUAUAAUUGACAUAUAACCCUGGGUAAGUUUAAGGUGUUGGUCUGCCACACAUAUGUUGCCAAAUGAUUACUGCGAGGACGUUAGCUACCACCAUUCUGUCACAUAAUUACUUUGUGUGUGUGUGUGUGUGCGUGGUGAGAACAUUUGAGAUCUACUCUCAUAGCAAUUUUCUGACAGGCAUGGCACCAGGGCCACUACUUACUGACAUAUCCCAUCCAAACCCAACUGCCAACUUCCCUCAACCCUCCUAAGAAUCACUCAGCACAAGUCCAAAACCUAUAAGAAGAACCUCUUGACAAGCCGUCCUGUGGGUACCCCCCCCCCCCGCCCGUGUGCUCUCUCCCUUUGCUACAACAAGCUAAAUAAACCUAACUUUGACCACAGAUACAGUCCUGGUGGUCUUUGGUUGGUGAGGCUCGACAUCCUGUAAGACUAAGUCACUUCUGCUGUCAUCAUAAGCAGCUGAUGUACAGUUUCAAAUAUUUUUAGGUAUCAGCAAGGGAUAAUUACCGGUAAUCAACCUGCUAGUAAUUUGGCAUGUUGUAAGAGUGUCCUGAGGAUGUGAAGCUGAUGUUCUCCGAAAUGUGGCUCAGGCAGCUGGUAAAUGCAGAGUUCUGCCCUCGUACGCAGCAGAGGCAGACUUCCCCGUCUGCGUAUCAUCAAUAUUGGAAGUGACUAACAGGAAAGUGUUCAGAGUUGGCUUGGCUGCCUGGAGGCCAGGGGAAGCCUCAGCUCUCCCGGACCCCUUUGAGCCUCCGGUUGGUUAGCCCCGAUUUUUUUCUCACUUCCUCUCUACCCUAGCGGCCAAAGCAAGUCCCAGGACCAGCCCUGUAUUCACAGUGGGUGGAAGCUACAAAGUCCUAGGACAAAAGGCGUGGAUACAGGGUGGCCAUUAAUUGAAGCCAUUGACACUAUUGUUUAACAUCUCUGUGUCUUGUCUGCAGAAUGGAGAAAACAAAACCUACCUCACAGAGU
This is a long non-coding RNA of Leopardus geoffroyi (Geoffroy's cat), 1194 nucleotides long. RefSeq lists it as uncharacterized. Lineage: Eukaryota; Metazoa; Chordata; Mammalia; Carnivora; Felidae. The record is from RefSeq and is a predicted model, not a curated record. The transcript has 3 exons.